This 253-nucleotide ribosomal RNA is filed under the name uncultured bacterium. Its description in RNAcentral is "partial 16S ribosomal RNA". It matches the Rfam family "Bacterial small subunit ribosomal RNA", at positions 524 to 776 of the family's 1533-position model. The record is from RNAcentral.
GACGAACCGUGCGAACGUUGUUCGGAAUCACUGGGCUUAAAGGGCGCGUAGGCGGGCCCGCAAGUCAGGGGUGAAAUCCCACGGCUCAACCGUGGAAGUGCCUUUGAUACUGCGGGUCUGGAGGGAGGUAGGGGCGUGCGGAACUUCCGGUGGAGCGGUGAAAUGCGUAGAUAUCUGGAGGAACACCGGUGGCGAAGGCGACGUCCUGGACCGGUAUUGACGCUGAGGCGCGAAAGCCAGGGGAGCAAACGGG